RNAcentral lists this ribosomal RNA (450 nucleotides) under uncultured bacterium. RNAcentral's name for it is "partial 16S ribosomal RNA". It matches the Rfam family "Bacterial small subunit ribosomal RNA", at positions 29 to 523 of the family's 1533-position model. The record is from RNAcentral.
AACGAACGCUGGCGGCAGGCUUAACACAUGCAAGUCGAACGCGUGUAGCAAUACACGAGUGGCGCACGGGUGAGUAACACGUGGAUAUCUGCCUUUUGGUUCGGAAUAACUCCGGGAAACUGGAGCUAAUACCGGAUGGUUCCUACGGGAUAAAGAUUUAUCGCCAAAAGAUGAGUCCGCGCACGAUUAGCAAGUUGGUGAGGAACGGCUCACCAAGGCGACGAUCGUUAGCUGGUCUGAGAGGACGAUCAGCCACACUGGGACUGAGACACGGCCCAGACUCCUACGGGAGGCAGCAGUGGGGAAUAUUGGACAAUGGGGGCAACCCUGAUCCAGCCAUGCCGCGUGAGUGAUGAAGGCCUUCGGGUUGUAAAGCUCUUUUGGCGGGGACGAUGAUGACGGUACCCGCAGAAUAAGCCCCGGCUAACUUCGUGCCAGCAGCCGCAGUAA